Molecule: microRNA, 22 nt
Filed under: Ornithorhynchus anatinus (platypus)
Lineage: Eukaryota; Metazoa; Chordata; Mammalia; Monotremata; Ornithorhynchidae
Description: oan-miR-7400-5p
Source: miRBase by way of RNAcentral
ACCUCCACCGGCUUUCAGAACG